RNAcentral lists this ribosomal RNA (538 nucleotides) under uncultured bacterium. RNAcentral describes it as "bacterial SSU rRNA". It matches the Rfam family "Bacterial small subunit ribosomal RNA", at positions 271 to 833 of the family's 1533-position model. The record is from RNAcentral.
AGCCUACGAUCAGUAGGGGUUCUGAGAGGAAGGUCCCCCACAUUGGAACUGAGACACGGUCCAAACUCCUACGGGAGGCAGCAGUGAGGAAUAUUGGUCAAUGGACGAGAGUCUGAACCAGCCAAGUAGCGUGCAGGAUGACGGCCUAUGGGUUGUAAACUGCUUUUGCGCGGGGAUAGGUACCGCGCGAAUAAGGACCGGCUAAUUCCGUGCCAGCAGCCGCGGUAAUACGGAAGGUCCGGGCGUUAUCCGGAUUUAUUGGGUUUAAAGGGAGCGUAGGCCGUGAGGUAAGCGUGUUGUGAAAUGUAGGCGCCCAACGUCUGCACUGCAGCGCGAACUGCCCCACUUGAGUGCGCGCAACGCCGGCGGAACUCGUCGUGUAGCGGUGAAAUGCUUAGAUAUGACGAAGAACCCCGAUUGCGAAGGCAGCUGGCGGGAGCGUAACUGACGCUGAAGCUCGAAAGCGCGGGUAUCGAACAGGAUUAGAUACCCUGGUAGUCCGCGCGGUAAACGAUGGAUGCCCGCUGUGGGCGCGGCU